Molecule: long non-coding RNA, 1182 nt
Organism: Anthonomus grandis grandis
Lineage: Eukaryota; Metazoa; Arthropoda; Insecta; Coleoptera; Curculionidae
Exons: 3
Source: RefSeq, a predicted model, not a curated record
AACAAAAUAUUUUGUUGAUUUAUUAUUACAUACUUUUGUAAUAUAUCUACAAUAUUUUGGUGUAACAUUAAUUUAUUGUCUCAUAGCCACAUUGAAGAGCAAUAAUAACUUUGUAGAGCGCAGUUGCGGAAAGUAGGCACUCGUGCCUCUGUUUAUGUUACAUUAAAAGUACAUCGCACGAGAUAUUUAAAAUACCCAAAUUUACAUAACAUAACAUUACAGAUACAUAUCUGUGCUAGCUGGGAUACUUGUCAGUCUGAUUCAUACCUGUCCAAACACUCUCUAGUUCAACUGAAUGGAAAGCGUUAGAAAAGUCUAUUCAGACAGAAUUGUCGUAAAUUCCCUUGUGUUCCAAGUCAGCAUAGUUGGCAUUAGUUUGUUUAUUUAAGUACAAGCUCUCCUAUAGAUAGACUAAGCAAUCCAACAACAAGAAAGCACAAAGUAUCCUAGGAAUUUAAAUACAAAGCUUUCUUAACAAUGUUUUCUAUAUGAACGUCGAAGAGCAGUCUGGAAUCCAACGUCACACCUAAAUCCUUAAUAAACUCUACAUACUUCAAGAUAGUGCCCCCGAGAUAGACACAUUUUUUUUGUGUCUAAGAUGGUUUUCUGCUAAAAAGUAUAGAAUGACAUUUUUCUGGAUUAUUAAAUAAAUUAUUUAAGGUGCAGCACCUUUCUAAAUUUGCAAGAUCAGAUUGCAAGGCACGAAAAUCUGAUACCUUCUUAAUUGUUGUAAAGAUUUUUAGGCCAUCUGCAUCUGCAAGAUAUUUACAGAUAGAGAAACAUUGAUCAAUGUUGUUUAAAAAGAUUGAGAACAAAAUCGGUCCUAAAUGAGAACCUUGAAGUUACUAUUGUACAAGACUCGUUACGUUACUCCUGAAGUUACUAUUGUACAAGAAGACUUUACUCCAUUUAUGACAACGUACUGAGAGCGAUUCGUUAGAUAAAUUUUAAUAGGGCUACCUUAUGCUGAAAACUGCUUGUUUGAUCUACAAAUACCGCCAAAAUAUCAUAGAAAGAAAUCUCCAAUAUGCAUCGAGAAAUCUUGCUAUUCUGAAGCCCUCCAUUACUUAUUGAAAAUUUUAUUUAUUGUCGCCCAUUGAUUAUUGCUUUUACAGUGGUCUUCAAAAAUAUAAAAAGAAAGAAAGCUGUCACUGAGUAUCAAUAAAAUUACUUACCAGAAUU